ACUUUAUGGUGCAUAUUUUAUAUGCGUAAUAGGGAAGUCGGUUCAAGUCCGACGCGGUCCCGCCACUGUAAUGGGGAGCAAAAUUACAUGUUUAACCACUGUCUUUUAAAGGCGGGAAGGUUGUAAUUAGCGAUGAUCCAAAGCCAGGAGACCUGCCAUAAAGC
RNAcentral lists this non-coding RNA (164 nucleotides) under Bacillus tuaregi. The record is from RNAcentral. Lineage: Bacteria; Bacillati; Bacillota; Bacilli; Caryophanales; Bacillaceae.